ACUAAGCCAUGCGAGUCAUUGUAGCAAUACAAGGCAGACGGCUCAGUAACGCGUAGUCAAUCUACCCUAUGGACGGGAAUAACCUCGGGAAACUGAGAAUAAUGCCCGAUAGAACAUUAUGCCUGGAAUGGUUUAUGUUUCAAAUGAUUUAUCGCCAUAGGAUGGGACUGCGGCCUAUCAGUUUGUUGGUGAGGUAAUGGCCCACCAAGACUAUUACAGGUACGGGCUCUGAGAGGAGUAGCCCGGAGAUGGGUACUGAGACACGGACCCAGGCCCUAUGGGGCGCAGCAGGCGAGAAAACUUUGCAAUGUGCGAAAGCACGACAAGGUUAAUCCGAGUGGUUUCUGCUAAAGAAACCUUUUGUCAGUCCUAGAAACACUAACGAAUAAGGGGUGGGCAAGUUCUGGUGUCAGCCGCCGCGGUAAAACCAGCACCUCAAGUGGUCAGGAUGAUUAUUGGGCCUAAAGCAUCCGUAGCUCGUUUUGUAAGUUUUCGGUUAAAUCCAUGCGCUUAACGUAUGGGCUGCCGGGAAUACUGCAUAACUAGGAAGUGGGAGAGGUAGACGGUACUCGGUAGGAAGGGGUAAAAUCCUUUGAUCUAUUGAUGACCACCUGUGGCGAAGGCGGUCUACCAGAACACGUUCGACGGUGAGGGAUGAAAGCUGGGGGAGCAAACCGGAUUAGAUACCCGGGUAGUCCCAGCUGUAAACUAUGCAAACUCAGUGAUGCAUUGGCUUAUGGCCAAUGCAGUGCUGCAGGGAAGCCGUUAAGUUUGCCGCCUGGGAAGUACGUACGCAAGUAUGAAACUUAAAGGAAUUGGCGGGGGAGCACCACAAGGGGUGAAGCCUGCGGUUCAAUUGGAGUC
This 864-nucleotide ribosomal RNA is filed under the name uncultured archaeon. RNAcentral describes it as "bacterial SSU rRNA". It matches the Rfam family "Archaeal small subunit ribosomal RNA", at positions 43 to 913 of the family's 1478-position model. The record is from RNAcentral.